AGGGCAUUCGGUGGAUGCCUUGGCGCUGAGAGGCGAUGAAGGACGUGGUACGCUGCGAUAAGCCGUGGGGAGUUGCGAACAGACUUUGAUCCGCGGAUUUCCGAAUGGGGCAACCCACCUUAGAUGACGGGAUCUUCGAUGCCGGCCCAUGUGGCCGGUUUCGGAUAUCUCGUUAUCGCUGAAAGGUAUCGUAUCCUGAAUUCAUAGGGAUAUGAAGCGAACCCAGGGAACUGAAACAUCUAAGUACCUGGAGGAAAGGACAUCAAACGAGACUCCGCUAGUAGUGGCGAGCGAACGCGGAUCAGGCCAGUGCUCUGUCAAAAGCAAGCGGAACUGCCUGGAAAGGCAGGCCAUAGAGGGUGAUAGCCCCUUACGCGUAAGGAUAGACAGAGCCUCGAGUAAGGCGGGACACGUGCAAUCCUGUCUGAACAUGGGGGGACCACCCUCCAAGCCUAAGUACUCCUCAGCGACCGAUAGCGAACAAGUACCGUGAGGGAAAGGUGAAAAGAACCCCGACAAGGGGAGUGAAACAGUUCCUGAAACCGGAUGCCUACAAACAGUCGGAGCCCGAAAGGGUGACGGCGUACCUUUUGUAUAAUGGGUCAGCGACUUAAUCUGGCAAGCAAGCUUAAGCCGAUAGGCGUAGGCGCAGCGAAAGCGAGUCUGAACAGGGCGAACGAGUUUGUCGGAUUAGACCCGAAACCAGUCGAUCUAGCCAUGGACAGGCUGAAGGUGCGGUAACACGCACUGGAGGGCCGAACCGGUGUCUGUUGAAAAAGCCUCGGAUGAUCUGUGGUUAGGGGUGAAAGGCUAAUCAAGGCUGGAGAUAGCUGGUUCUCCGCGAAAGCUAUUGAGGUAGCGCCUCACGUGAAUACUCCAGGGGGUAGAGCACUGGAUGGGCUAGGGGUCCAUAACGGAUUACCAAACCUAACCAAACUCCGAAUACCUGGAAGUACUGCGUGGGAGACACACGGCGGGUGCUAACAUCCGUCGUGAAGAGGGAAACAACCCUGACCGCCAGCUAAGGUCCCCAAAUCGUGGCUAAGUUGGAAAGGAUGUGAGGAUCCCAAAACAACCAGGAGGUUGGCUUAGAAGCAGCCAUCCUUUAAAGAAAGCGUAACAGCUCACUGGUCUAAACAAGGGUCUUUGCGCCGAAAAUGUAACGGGGAUCAAGCCACGUACCGAAGCUGCGGGUGUGCGAAAGCACGCGGUAGCGGAGCGUUCCGUAAGCCAGUGAAGGACGACCCGUGAGGGCGUCUGGAGGUAUCGGAAGAGCGAAUGCUGACAUGAGUAACGAAAACAGUGUGAGAAACACUGUCGCCGAAAGUCCAAGGGUUCCUGCGUAAAGCUAAUCUGCGCAGGGUUAGCCGGCCCCUAAGGCGAGGCAGAAAUGCGUAGUCGAUGGGAACCACGUUAAUAUUCGUGGGCCAGCGGGUGGUGACGAAUCCAAAUCGUAGUUCGGGAUUAUCGGAUUUCCCGGGCUGCCGGAGGGUUCCAGGAAAUAGCCCCCGCAUCAGACCGUACCCGAAACCGACACAGGUGGACUGGUAGAGCAUACCAAGGCGCUUGAGAGAACGAUGCUGAAGGAACUCGGCAAAUUGCCCUCGUAACUUCGGGAGAAGAGGGCCCCGUGUGCGGGCAACCGUGCGCGGGGGGCACAGACCAGGGGGUGGCGACUGUUUAACAAAAACACAGGGCUCUGCGAAGCCGCAAGGCGACGUAUAGGGUCUGACGCCUGCCCGGUGCCGGAAGGUUAAGAGGAGGGGUGCAAGCUCCGAAUCGAAGCCCCGGUAAACGGCGGCCGUAACUAUAACGGUCCUAAGGUAGCGAAAUUCCUUGUCGGGUAAGUUCCGACCUGCACGAAUGGCGUAACGACUUCCCCACUGUCUCCAGCAUCGGCUCAGUGAAAUUGAAUUCCCCGUGAAGAUGCGGGGUUCCUGCGGUUAGACGGAAAGACCCCGUGCACCUUUACUAUAGCUUUACACUGGCAUUCGUGUCGGCAUGUGUAGGAUAGGUGGUAGGCUUUGAAGCGGAGGCGCCAGCCUUCGUGGAGCCGCCCUUGAAAUACCACCCUUAUCGUCAUGGAUGUCUAACUGCGGCCCGUCAUCCGGGUCCAGGACAGUGUAUGGUGGGUAGUUUGACUGGGGCGGUCGCCUCCCAAAGAGUAACGGAGGCGCGCGAUGGUGGGCUCAGGCUGGUCGGAAAUCAGCCGUUGAGUGCAAUGGCAUAAGCCCGCCUGACUGCGAGACACACAUGUCGAGCAGAGACGAAAGUCGGUCAUAGUGAUCCGGUGGUCCCACGUGAGGAGGGCCAUCGCUCAACGGAUAAAAGGUACGCCGGGGAUAACAGGCUGAU
This 2355-nucleotide ribosomal RNA is filed under the name freshwater bacterium LH6-2. RNAcentral describes it as "bacterial LSU rRNA". It matches the Rfam family "Bacterial large subunit ribosomal RNA", at positions 14 to 2486 of the family's 2925-position model. The record is from RNAcentral.